GCCGAGGUAGCUCAGGUGGUAGAGCAGAGGACUGAAAAUCCUCGUGUCGGCGGUUCGAGUCCGCCCCUCGGCACCA
RNAcentral lists this transfer RNA (76 nucleotides) under Desulfurobacterium sp. RNAcentral's name for it is "tRNA-Phe". It matches the Rfam family "tRNA". Rfam says of the family: Transfer RNA (tRNA) molecules are approximately 80 nucleotides in length. Their secondary structure includes four short double-helical elements and three loops (D, anti-codon, and T loops). Lineage: Bacteria; Pseudomonadati; Aquificota; Aquificia; Desulfurobacteriales; Desulfurobacteriaceae. The record is from RNAcentral.